This is a long non-coding RNA of Carassius auratus (goldfish), 200 nucleotides long. RefSeq lists it as uncharacterized. The record is from RefSeq and is a predicted model, not a curated record. The transcript is spliced from 2 exons. NCBI's taxonomy places the organism in Eukaryota, Metazoa, Chordata, Actinopteri, Cypriniformes, Cyprinidae.
GGUCUCGCUAUCUUGGUUCUCAGUUUUUGAGCACCUCAAUGGCAGAAGACUUGCUGGAGCACUUUAAGGAGGGCACCAAGGAACUUAAUUUAAGGAACAUGCUUUCUGUGUCAAUGGAUGUAUCCACAGUAAAUUGGAAAGUCAUGGAUCUCCUACAACUGGAACAUGCAAUAAAUUUCUGAUCCUGAUCUUUCCUACAA